GUAGUCCUGAGGAGUCCCAAACUAGGACGAAACAGCUGUCCAUUAC
Molecule: non-coding RNA, 46 nt
Filed under: Trichobilharzia regenti
Lineage: Eukaryota; Metazoa; Platyhelminthes; Trematoda; Strigeidida; Schistosomatidae
Source: RNAcentral